Molecule: ribosomal RNA, 253 nt
Filed under: uncultured bacterium
Lineage: Bacteria
Description: partial 16S ribosomal RNA
Rfam family: Bacterial small subunit ribosomal RNA
Source: RNAcentral
UACAGAGGGUGCGAGCGUUAAUCGGAUUUACUGGGCGUAAAGCGCACGCAGGCGGUUGGUUAAGUCAGAUGUGAAAGCCCCGGGCUCAACCUGGGAAUUGCAUUUGAAACUGGCCAACUAGAGUACGUGAGAGGGGGGUAGAAUUCCAAGUGUAGCGGUGAAAUGCGUAGAGAUUUGGAGGAAUACCAGUGGCGAAGGCGGCCCCCUGGCACGAUACUGACGCUCAGGUGCGAAAGCGUGGGGAGCAAACAGG